GGCCCCAUAGCUCAGUGGUUAGAGCAGUCGACUCAUAAUCGAUUGGUCGUCCGUUCAAGUCGGACUGGGGCCA
This 73-nucleotide transfer RNA is filed under the name Anopheles gambiae str. PEST. RNAcentral describes it as "tRNA-Met (CAT) (tRNA-Met-CAT-3-1)". It matches the Rfam family "tRNA". From Rfam's summary of the family: Transfer RNA (tRNA) molecules are approximately 80 nucleotides in length. The record is from RNAcentral. Lineage: Eukaryota; Metazoa; Arthropoda; Insecta; Diptera; Culicidae.